UGUGAGAGAAAAAUAUUAUUGGGCUGGCUAGAGCUGGAGCUGGUGGCUGGAGUGGUGUGAGAAGAAAAUACUGUUGGGCUGGAGCUGGAGCUGGAGCUGGAGCUGGAGCUGGAGCUGGCUGCCGAACGGAGUGAUUGAAUGUGCAAACAUUUUACUUGACAUAAAUGGAACCGUGAAGGUUGGAGAUUUUGGACUGGCAAAGCUGGUUGUUUUUUUCUCUCUCUCUUUUGAUUCUUUCAAGUAUAUAAAUUUUCUAAUCUUUGGUAGCAGAGCCAGUGAUAUCUGAAGCUAAUACCAUGCUAGAUCAAAGUCUGGAAGCAGAAAAGGUCCUGUGCAGGAAGUGUAUAUUGGAUGGCUCCUGAGGUCAUUCGCGAGACUCCAUACGGGCGUUCUGCUGACAUCUGGAGCCUCGGGUGCACUGUCCUGGAGAUGUUCAUACAAAGACCUCCUUAUCCUGACGACAACUGCGUAUCAGCUUUCUACCAAAAUCGGUCGUGGUCAGCUCCCUCCGGUCCUGAGCUCACUGUCGCUGGUGGCUCGCGAGUUCAUACACAAGUGCCUCCGGGUAGACCCUGACGACCGGCCCUCUGCUGACGAACUGCUGGGGGACCCAUUCGUGGCGCAGCCGGAUUCAGAACAGCAUGUCGCCUGGUCGACGUUGUCGCGUUCAGAAUAAGCAGCUCGUUGCUUCUUCGACGCUGUCCCUUGUUGGAAGUUUCAGAAUCGUCGUAGCAUCGCCAGGUGAAGGGAAAUCUUUCGCGCUAGAUUCAGGCGUGAGAUUUGUAGAAUGUGGUUUGAGAUUUCGACAUGCUGUGUAAAAUAUACUCGGCAUCCAUCAUUGACUAUUCUUUGUUGCUUU
Long non-coding RNA from Panicum virgatum (switchgrass), 859 nucleotides. RefSeq lists it as uncharacterized. The transcript has 3 exons. NCBI's taxonomy places the organism in Eukaryota, Viridiplantae, Streptophyta, Magnoliopsida, Poales, Poaceae. The record is from RefSeq and is a predicted model, not a curated record.